UAGGGAAUAUUAGAAAUGGACGAAAGUCUGAUCUAGCAACACCGCGUGUGCGAAGAAGGCCUUCGGGUUGUAAAGCACUUUUUGGAAGGAUUAGGAAGGAAUGUACUUCCAGAAUAAGCCUCGGCUAACUACGUGCCAGCAGCCGCGGUAAAACGUAGGAGGCGAGCGUUAUCCGGAUUUACUGGGCGUAAAGCGUGUGUAGGCGGUUUGAUAAGUUGGAUGUGAAAGCUCCUGGCUUAACUGGGAGAGGUCGUUCAAAACUAUCAGACUUGAGAGUGGUAGAGGGAGGUGGAAUUCCGCAUGUAGUGGUGAAAUGCGUAGAUAUGCGGAGGAACACCAGUGGCGAAAGCGGCCUCCUGGCCCAUUUCUGACGCUCAGACACGAAAGCUAAGGUAGCAAACG
Molecule: ribosomal RNA, 402 nt
Filed under: uncultured prokaryote
Description: bacterial SSU rRNA
Rfam family: Bacterial small subunit ribosomal RNA
Source: RNAcentral